Triticum aestivum (bread wheat) is the source of this 4294-nucleotide long non-coding RNA. RefSeq lists it as uncharacterized. Lineage: Eukaryota; Viridiplantae; Streptophyta; Magnoliopsida; Poales; Poaceae. The transcript is spliced from 3 exons. The record is from RefSeq and is a predicted model, not a curated record.
UUUCUUUGAGUCGAUACUCCUGAAAGUUCUUCCAUAGGUAGGAUCUCUUUAUUGAUGCAGAAAUGAUAUGUUCUCUUUUCCCCUUUGGUAUAACUAGUAGGAUUUGCCUGAAGUCACCUCCCAAGACUACUGUCAUUCCUCCAAAUGGUCUAUACUCUGCAUCCUCAUAUGUGAAUCGAAGUAUGUCUCUCAAACUCUUAUCUAGUGCCUCAAAACAGUGCUUGUGUGUCAUAGGUGCUUCAUCCCAUAUUAUCAGUGAUGUUUUCUUUAUUAGCUCCGCAAGAAAUGUUCCUUGCUUGAUGUUGCAUGUGGACUCGUUAGUGAUCUUGAGGGGAAUGUGAAAUCUUGAAUGAGCUGUUCUUCCACCCUGUCAAAGAAGUGCUGCUAUACCACUUGAAGCAACUGCUAGAACUAUUUUUCCUUCAGAUCUUAAUUUUGUCGUGACUGCUUUCCACAGAAAUGUCUUUCCAGUUCCACCAUAUCCGUUAACAAAAAUCAAUUUCCCAAGACUGUCGUUGACUGAUUCUAUUAUAACGUCAAAAGCCAUCCUCUGAUCCUGAUUUAGCUUAUGCAGUAACUUCAUCUGCUCUAUUCUUAAAGAAUCUUUAUCGUAGUUUAGUUCCUCAUUUACUAAUCUAUUAUUUAGAUCUUGAAUAGCUGAACUAUCUGGUAGUGGCAUUCCUGGAAAAUCUUUGAGGGACUUACCACCUUUAGUCAAUAGUUGUUCUAUCUCUGCCAGGAGCAGGCUCUUUAUUUGUGCCGAGUUGAGUUCCAGGGCCUGAAAAUUGAAUAUUCUUCUUUGCCGACGUUGGAUAUCCUCAAAUAGUAACUCCCAAUUUGUUUGCCACAACUUUGCGGGAUCCGUCACCUCACAAAAUAAAAGAAUUGUGCAGAAAAGUUGGCGCACUUGAGGAGCAGAGGCCCAAUGGGAUGCUUCCUUGAUGCAGUCAUCCCACUCUUUGUCGUCAUUAAGUAGCCCAAGAGCAUAACAUGCGGAUUUGAAUGUUGGAUGUACAACCCCAUCAACUGUUCGAAUUUCUUCAUAUGAUCUGCAUCCUUUGACGGCCGGGAUACAAUUUGAUCUAAAUCCAUUGAGUCCGGGAACACCACGACAUGUUCAUUUUCUAGGUGAAAUUGUAACCUCUCAACCGCAGGCUCUCUGUACUGAAGAGGAAACUGAAAUAUGCGCCAUGCGGCUUCACAUCCAGAUAUGUACCAGGCAUCUAGGUACCUCUUGAUUUCGUCGUCCCUGUUUGUUAAUUUGCUAGCUCUAGUUUCACUUUGUUGGUCUUCCGCUUCUAUCAAGACGGUUGUUCGAUCUUCUCCUUUGUGGAUGUAUUUGAAUAAAUACUUUAUAGACCUUGAUCUGUUGCACCAUUCAACAUUUAUGUGGGCUUGAUACUUGACCAGUAGGUUUCUAUUGUAUGGCACAACAAAUCUAUUGUCUAGCUUCACUCCAUUUUUGUCCACAGUGUUGCCAUCAUCUCGCCUUCUAUAUACUGGAUCGUUAUCUUCAUCUAUGGUAGUCUCAGUGCAAAAAUUCUUGGGGAAAUGUUUGGCACAACUUUUAUCGACCAUGCAUGGUGAUUUGGGGUGUGCUUGACCACAUGGACCAUGUAUCAUGUAAUUUUGCACUGCUUCGUACCCUUCUGGAUCACUAUUCUUAUCAGGAAUUUUGGCUGAUAUGAUUUUGUCGAUCUGGGAAGGACUUGGAUCUUUAUCAUCUGGGUGUAGAAACACCAGUAUGUGUGCAUGCGGGAGGCCUCUUUUCUGGAACUCUAUAGUGUAGACAACUGUAUGAAAGUAAACAAAUUUGAGAAGAAAUGAGUUAGGACAAUCAUCUAGGAAAGAGUGAAUAUGUACUUAUUAGGUAAACUUACUUGCAAUUGUUUGUCCAAAACACUUUCCGUUCUUUAUGUCAUUCAUAAGUUCCUUCAGUUUUAACAUGAAUACUCUGGCAACAAUAUCUGGACGAUCUUCAGGUUUCUGGCCUGGAAUCAGAUCCAACAUAUCUUGUAUUUCCAGCCAUUUUGGAUUGCAUGUAAAAGUAAUGAAGAGAUCAGGAUAGCCAGCCCAACGACAAAUCGCCAUGGCAUCUUGGUAGUUUUGCUGCUUAUUUCUUGGACUGCCAUUAUAUGAUGAGGGUAGUAUGAUUCUUUGUCCAACUUGUUCGGUUCGUGUAUCUCCAUUUUCUAUUGCAUCAUGCAGUCCUCUGUACAGUUCUGUCCUCAACUUACCUUGGUUUGUCCUGUACCAAUUUAGUCUCCACUGUUCAAUGCACGUUGUUGCAUCAACUAAGAACUGCAGGAACAAACGUCCACUCAUUUGCAAUGUUGAAGCUUGGUUCGGACGUUGUUGUAUGUGAUACGCAUAAAACUCCAGCAUUGUUACAUACUUUCUUUUACCUUUGCUGCCUCUUUUUUCUCAUACUCUAUUUCUGGUCUGAAACCAUCUUCUCCAUAUGGAAAAAGCAAGGGGUACUGCAUUGCCAUAUAGCUUGGGUGCAACUCUGAAAUCCUCUGUGACAUUUUGUCUUUGGUCUCAACUAUUAUAUCAAAUUCAUUAUUUUCUCCAUCUUGUUCCCCAAUAAUUAGUGCUGCAACUUCUGAGGCAGAUGGUAGGUUUUAUUGCCGUCCAUCUUUCGACCUUUUGUUGAUCAAUCUUAGUCUUACAUCUUUAAUACGUCGGUUUUGGAAUCUGUCCCUUGCCAUACGAAAUGAUUUGACUAAAACAUUGUGCUCAUCAAGCAUCUCCAGUAGUCCUUUGACAAUGUUUUCAUCUGGUUGUGUCUUACUCUCCAUUGAAGCAGAUGCAUUAAUCCUAUUCCGCACUUCAUUUUCUGUGUCAUGUAUGUACAAUUGGGAAAAUUUUGGCUUCGUCACGUCAUCUUUAGGAAGUAAAGUGCCAAUCUGAUGGUAAUUCUGGCCAUUCAAAUGGAAAACAUACGGUCCAGAUGCCUGCUUAUUAAUUUCAUAGUCAACCUUUCCUCCCAUUGAAGUGAAUGCGAACAUCGAGUUGUACAACCUGAUGUUCUUGCAGAAAUUUGAUGAUUCUCCUCUUUCAUUGUAACGUAGUAGCUGUCGGAGAUACAGCGGAGCUUGUUUCAGUGGUGGUAAGUUAACUUUCCCUUCCUUGCAGCAGAGACCAAAUUUUGGAACUGUGAUGUUACCUGUGCUUGUGCUUCUCUCUCCAUGCCACAUAAUGGCAUUGCAAAAUUCACAAACACAAUUUGGUUUUCCCAGAUAUGAAAUUUGAGUGACAUCCUUCGCUACAUGAGAUACUUCACAGUCAUUGCCCUUUUCUGUCCUUAGUCGUUUGCUUGCCUUUUUCAGCUUGAGGAUCUCUUUCCUUUUCCGCCUAGCUUCCUUUGCUGCUGCUCUAAUGAUGUCUGAUUGACUAUCAUUAGAUUCGAGUGUUGCUAGUUUGGAGGCUGCUUGCUCAGUGCAUGUUCGACGCAUGUUGACUGCGGCUAGUGAAUCCUGAAAUAAAUGAGGUAAAAGGUGUAACUGAUUUUAUUCUGAGAUAUAAGUGAGAACAUCUUAUACGUAACUGAUUUUAUUUGUCUAGAAGUUCAGAAUUGCUGAUGAUAAAUUUAAUGUAAACAUGUGAGGCACCACAAUGUUUGCAAGGAUGUUGAAGGUAUUUGUAUGGAACAGAUAGUUUCCUGAUAAGAUUCUUUUUCAUAUGGAUUGUUUUCCAACAAAGGAUUUUAAAUCGUCUAAAAUCAUUAUUCUAUUGUGAAAGAAGGAUACUUGUGUUGUCACCUUCCGAUGAGAGGACGUAUAUGCUCUGUAAUUGGUGAUCAGAAUCUCAAGUUUAUCGCCGCUUUCUCUCUGUAAUUCAAGUUAAUACAAAGCAUGUGUAAUGAGAUCGGGGAGUUGAUGUAUAUAUUAAUCAUUGCAAGAGACAUGCAUAUAUUAUUUGUGGAAGGAGAUAAUGAACAUUGGCUGCAAGUACUGCCACACAACCUGUCUGCUCCUUGCUGCUUGCGAGAGGAGGGCAAUGUCUUGUCGGGAUGUGCACGCUCUGUAAUUGGUGAUCUAAAUCUCAAGUUUAUCGGCGCUUUCUCUCUGUAAUUCAAGUUAAUACAAAGCAUGUGUAAUGAGAUCAGAGAGUUAAUGCAUAUAGUAUUAAUCAUUGCAAGGAGACAUUCAUGUAUUAUUUGUGGAAGGAGAUAAUGAACAUUACCUGCAAGUACUGCCACACAACCUGUCUGCUCCUUGUUGCUGGCGAGAGGACUAAUUAUUGCCUGUAUGUGAUGAAGGAUGAGAUCGGGAGCGGUGUCUUGCUUGGA